This is an RNA transcript of Hydractinia symbiolongicarpus, 1930 nucleotides long. RefSeq lists it as uncharacterized. The transcript has 3 exons. The record is from RefSeq and is a predicted model, not a curated record. NCBI's taxonomy places the organism in Eukaryota, Metazoa, Cnidaria, Hydrozoa, Anthoathecata, Hydractiniidae.
UUUUUGUUCCGCUACAGCAUUCGUUUGUAUUACUUAGCAGAACAUGGCUAACAGGCAACUGCGAAGUGAAGUUUUGAAACGCGCCCUGAAGGCAUGCAUCGUCCAACCGGUAAUAAGAAAAUAUCAGGUAGUAGCCGUUCGUGCGAUGUGGGGAAGUGAUGUUGAUGCCCGCGAGGUCAUUUGGGGCAAGAGAAUGCAGAUGGAGAACAUAUUGCUUAGCAACGAACAAGUAUCCUGUUUUUUUUCUUGUAUUACCUAUAUGGCCAGACCUCGUAAGAGAAAGUCGAUGAGGAAUGAAGGGGAGGAAGAAGAAGGAGCCGACUCUAGCAGUGAAGGUGAUAACAGAAACGGCGCAAAUGCGCCUGAAACAUUUCCUGGCAUUUCUUUCUGGAUCGCGUGCGACUUGCCAAACUGUACCUUAAGUCAAUUUGAAACAAAUUUGUCGAAGUCUUUUAUGCAAGCCGGGUUGAAUUUAACAACGUGCAAUGCUAUACAGACAAGAGGUAAAUACUUGAACCUUUUAGUACUUGAAAUACUGUCAAUGUUUUUCGAAUAUUUUACGCCACAUUUGAUAUUUGUAGGCAAAACCAGUGCAUUGCAAGCAUUCUCAGGAUCGUUAUACCAAGUCUUGAAAGACCACAAUAGGGAAGAAGCAAAACGGAUAGUUGAGAUAUCCCAUCGCACAAUGAUUAGGAGUGCAGCUAGAGAUGAAGGUGUUCAACUUGACCACGUUGCUGUAAUGGAAAGCGAACAGUACUCGAUGAAACCCUGUCAGUUAAUUCUAACAAAAAAUAUUGAUAAAGAGGUAUAUCAAGAUGUAAUUCGUGGUUUAUCCGAAAUCAGAUUUACAUCGCUUGAUUUAAAAGUAAUUGAUAAAUCGGAAGGCACAGAAGUAACUAUUCCCGUUAAGCCAACUAACAAACUUUGUCAAUCCGUGGAUAUAGUUCGAAGGAUGAUGGAGAGGAAUAGCUUUGGGCUGUGCAAUGGAGGUGUAUACAAAAAAAUAGGAGAAAGCAGAUACACAUACGUUUACUGUUGUUCGGUGAAAAGCUAUCUCUAUCGCUCGUUGAAAAACAAAGCAAUCGCCAACGAAAUUACGCCAAAUUUACGAGAGUUGGUAUUUUUGCUGUCGGACGGCGAGUGCCAAAUAAUUGAUCAAAUAACUCUGGAUUACAAUUACAUUGAAUGCUUGCCAAAUGGAGUUUGUUAUAACAUCGCCAAAAAAUGUUUCGAUGUCAAGCCAAAUUUAAAGGGAUCUCCCCGAGCAUUCGUACGGUACUUUCAUCGUGAGGGAAAAAAUCCCGAACCAAAGCCAUUUAUAGAAGGUAAUUGUUUUUACUUUUCUUUUAACGCGUUAAGAAAAUGUGUUUUUUUUCUUUUAACGCGUUGUAACAUAUCAAGGUGGUAGUUGUAACGUGUUGUAACGUAUUGUAACUUGUUGUAACGCAUUGUCAGUGAAAAAAAUGUUUUUUUUUAUCUUUUAACGCGUUGUAACAUAUCAAGGUGGUAGUUGUAACGUGUUGUAACGUAUUGUAACUUGUUGUAACGCAUUGUCAGUGAAGAAAAUGUUUUUUUUUAUCUUUUAACGCGUUGUAACAUAUCAAAGUGGUAGUUGUAACGUGUUGUAACGUAUUGUAACUUGUUGUAACGCAUUGUCAGUGAAGAAAAUGUUUUUUUUUAUCUUUUAACGCGUUGUAACAUAUCAAAGUGGUAGUUGUAACGUGUUGUAACGUAUUGUAACUUGUUGUAACGCAUUGUCAGUGAAGAAAAUGUUUUUUUUUAUCUUUUAACGCGUUGUAACAUAUCAAAGUGGUAGUUGUAACGUGUUGUAACGUAUUGUAACUUGUUGUAACGCAUUGUCAGUGAAGAAAAUGUUUUUUUUUAUCUUUUAACGCGUUGUAACAUAUCAAGGUGGUAGUUGUAACGUGUU